This 460-nucleotide ribosomal RNA is filed under the name uncultured bacterium. Its description in RNAcentral is "partial 16S ribosomal RNA". It matches the Rfam family "Bacterial small subunit ribosomal RNA", at positions 338 to 795 of the family's 1533-position model. The record is from RNAcentral.
CCUACGGGAGGCAGCAGUGAGGAAUAUUGGUCAAUGGGCGCGAGCCUGAACCAGCCAAGUAGCGUGAAGGAUGACUGCCCUACGGGUUGUAAACUUCUUUUAUAAAGGAAUAAAGUGAGGCACGUGUGCCUGUUUGUAUGUAUUUUAUGAAUAAGGAUCGGCUAACUCCGUGCCAGCAGCCGCGGUAAUACGGAGGAUCCGAGCGUUAUCCGGAUUUAUUGGGUUUAAAGGGAGCGUAGGUGGAUUGUUAAGUCAGUUGUGAAAGUUUGCGGCUCAACCGUAAAAUUGCAGUUGAAACUGGCAGUCUUGAGUACAGUAGAGGUGGGCGGAAUUCGUGGUGUAGCGGUGAAAUGCUUAGAUAUCACGAAGAACUCCGAUUGCGAAGGCAGCUCACUGGACUGCAACUGACACUGAGGCUCGAAAGCGUGGGGAUCAAACAGGAUUAGAUACCCCGGUAGUC